RNAcentral lists this long non-coding RNA (258 nucleotides) under Mytilus galloprovincialis (Mediterranean mussel). Lineage: Eukaryota; Metazoa; Mollusca; Bivalvia; Mytilida; Mytilidae. The record is from RNAcentral.
AAUUCUUCCAUCUCCUUGCCCCAAGACAAAAUAUAUUUCAAAGAUACCCCCUUUUCUCUGAUCCCUCAUUCCCCUGUCUCCUUACCCCUGUCCACCCCUCUAUUAAGGUCUGGGGUUUGAUUGACUUGUUUAUUUUCUUGAGAAUAUGAUAUAAUUGGCCUAAUUUGUAAAUGAUAAACCCUACAGUAGGAGGCAAUACAUCUUAUCGAAGGAUUCAUCUUGAUCAAUCACAAUUUGUUUACCAUUAACCCCCCCCCC